RNAcentral lists this ribosomal RNA (495 nucleotides) under uncultured bacterium. RNAcentral describes it as "partial 16S ribosomal RNA". It matches the Rfam family "Bacterial small subunit ribosomal RNA", at positions 28 to 507 of the family's 1533-position model. The record is from RNAcentral.
GACGAACGCUGGCGGCGUGCCUAAUACAUGCAAGUAGAACGCUGAAGGAGGAGCUUGCUCUUCUGGAUGAGUUGCGAACGGGUGAGUAACGCGUAGGUAACCUGCCUGGUAGCGGGGGAUAACUAUUGGAAACGAUAGCUAAUACCGCAUAACAGUAGAUGUUGCAUGACAUUUGCUUAAAAGGUGCAAUUGCAUCACUACCAGAUGGACCUGCGUUGUAUUAGCUAGUUGGUGGGGUAACGGCUCACCAAGGCGACGAUACAUAGCCGACCUGAGAGGGGGGUCGGCCAGACUGGGACUGAGACACGGCCCAGACUCCUACGGGAGGCAGCAGGAGGGAAUCUUCGGCAAUGGACGGAAGUCUGACCGAGCAACGCCGCGUGAGUGAAGAAGGGUGUCGGAUCGUAAAGCUCUGUUGUAAGAGAAGAACGAGUGUGAGAGUGGAAAGUUCACACUGUGACGGUAUCUUACCAGAAAGGGACGGCUAACUACGUG